Molecule: ribosomal RNA, 254 nt
Filed under: uncultured bacterium
Lineage: Bacteria
Description: partial 16S ribosomal RNA
Rfam family: Bacterial small subunit ribosomal RNA
Source: RNAcentral
UACGAAGGGGGCUAGCGUUGCUCGGAAUCACUGGGCGUAAAGCGCACGUAGGCGGACUCUUAAGUCGGGGGUGAAAUCCUGGAGCUCAACUCCAGAACUGCCUUCGAUACUGGGAGUCUUCGAGUUCGGGAGAGGUGAGUGGAACUGCGAGUGUAGAGGUGAAAUUCGUAGAUAUUCGCAAGAACACCAGUGGCGAAGGCGGCUCACUGGCCCGAUACUGACGCUGAGGUGCGAAAGCGUGGGGAGCAAACGGG